Molecule: ribosomal RNA, 440 nt
Filed under: uncultured bacterium
Lineage: Bacteria
Description: bacterial SSU rRNA
Rfam family: Bacterial small subunit ribosomal RNA
Source: RNAcentral
GAUGAACGCUGGCGUAUGCCUAACACAUGCAAGUCGUACGAGAGUUUUUAACUCUAGUGGCGGACGGGUGAGUAACACGUGAGAAUUUGCCUUUAGGAGGGGGACAACAAUCGGAAACGAAUGCUAAUACCCCAUAUGCUUUCGAGUGAAAUGGAUUUUAUCCGCCUAGAGAGAAGCUCGCGGCUGAUUAGCUUGUUGGUAAGGUAAGAGCUUACCAAGGCGACGAUCAGUAUCUGGUUUGAGAGGACGAUCAGACACACUGGAACUGAGACACGGUCCAGACUCCUACGGGAGGCAGCAGUGGGGAAUUUUCCGCAAUGGGCGAAAGCCUGACGGAGCAAUACCGCGUGAGGGAAGAAUGCCUAUGGGUUGUAAACCUCUUUUUUCAGGGAGGAAUCAAAUGACGUGUACCUGAAGAAUAAGCAUCGGCUAACUCCGUG